Non-coding RNA from Malus domestica (apple), 429 nucleotides. The record is from RefSeq and is a predicted model, not a curated record. NCBI's taxonomy places the organism in Eukaryota, Viridiplantae, Streptophyta, Magnoliopsida, Rosales, Rosaceae.
AUUUGCUUUUUGACCAUCGCAUCCUUGCAACUGCAACUUUGUUCUCAAUCGGUGCUUUGUGGUGGUCAACAAGGAAGUUUGACAUCCAUCCGGCAGUUCGAUCUUUGAUUGGAAGUGCUGUUGGCAUGGCUGGCCUUCAGGUCACUCUGGGGAUAUCUACACUGCUGUCCUAUGUGCCUGUGGAGCUUGGCACAGCGCAUCAAGCCGGGGCUUUGACUCUCUUGACACUAAUGAUCCUUCUCAAUCAUACCUUGCGUAGGCCAUCGGCGUCCCUUCUCAAAUCACUACCUCAAGUUGCAAAGACAAUCUAGAUGACUUUGCAGUUCAAUUUUGUAACGAUUGGACGUUUUAAUUGGGUCAAACAUUAUUUCUUCGGUUCUUGUGUUAUACGUAUAUCACCCGCUUUCAAGCUGGGGAUUGUUUUGCAAA